GAUGAACGCUGGCGGCGUGCUUAACACAUGCAAGUCGAACGAAGAUGCCGGAGUGCUUGCACUUUGGCAGACUGAGUGGCGGACGGGUGAGUAACGCGUGGGUAACCCUGCCUUAUACAGGGGGAUAACAGUUGGAAACGACUGCUAAUACCGCAUAAGCGCACGGUAUCGCAUGAUACAGUGUGAAAAACUCCGGUGGUAUAAGAUGGACCCGCGUCUGAUUAGCUUGUUGGUGAGGUAACGGCCCACCAAGGCGACGAUCAGUAGCCGGCCUGAGAGGGUGAACGGCCACAUUGGGACUGAGACACGGCCCAAAACUCCUACGGGAGGCAGCAGUGGGGAAUAUUGCACGAAUGGGGGAAACCCUGAUGCAGCGACGCCGCGUGAGUGAUGAAG
Molecule: ribosomal RNA, 396 nt
Filed under: uncultured bacterium
Lineage: Bacteria
Description: bacterial SSU rRNA
Rfam family: Bacterial small subunit ribosomal RNA
Source: RNAcentral